AUACGAGGGGUGCAAGCGUUGUUCGGAAUUACUGGGCGUAAAGGGAGCGUAGGCGGAGAUUCAAGCGGAUUGUACAAUCCCGGGGCCCAACCCCGGCUCUGCAGUCCGAACUGGAUCUCUUGGAUAGUUCAGGGGCAGGCGGAAUUCCUGGGGUAGCGGUGGAAUGCGUAGAGAUCAGGAAGAACACCGAUGGCGAAGGCAGCCUGCUGGGGACUUAUCGACGCUGAGGCUCGAAAGUGCGGGUAGCAAACAGGAUUAGAUACCCUGGUAGUCCGCACCGUAAACGAUGCAUACUGGGUGUCCGGGGGUUCCCCCGGGUACCGUAGCCAACGCGUUAAGUAUGCCGCCUGGGGAGUACGUACGCAAGUAUGAAACUUAAAGGAAUUGACGGGG
This 393-nucleotide ribosomal RNA is filed under the name uncultured bacterium. Its description in RNAcentral is "partial 16S ribosomal RNA". It matches the Rfam family "Bacterial small subunit ribosomal RNA", at positions 523 to 918 of the family's 1533-position model. The record is from RNAcentral.